GACGAACGCUGGCGGCGUGCUUAACACAUGCAAGUCGAGCGAGAGAAAUUCCUUCGGGAAGGACUCUAGCGGCGGACGGGUGAGUAACACGUGGGUAACUUGCCUCAUAGAGGGGAAUAGCCUUUCGAAAGGAAGAUUAAUACCGCAUAAGAUUGUAGUAUCGCAUGAUGCAGCAAUUAAAGGAGUAAUCCGCUAUGAGGUGGACCCGCGUCGCAUUAGCUAGUUGGUGAGGUAACGGCUCACCAAGGCGACGAUGCGUAGCCGACCUGAGAGGGUGAUCGGCCACAUUGGGACUGAGACACGGCCCAGACUCCUACGGGAGGCAGCAGUGGGGAAUAUUGCACAAUGGGAGAAACCCUGAUGCAGCAACGCCGCGUGAGUGAUGACGGUCUUCGGAUUGUAAAACUCUGUCUUCAGGGACGAUAAUGACGGUACCUGAGGAGGAAGCCACGGCUAACUACGUGCCAGCCGCCGCCGUAA
Molecule: ribosomal RNA, 480 nt
Filed under: uncultured bacterium
Lineage: Bacteria
Description: partial 16S ribosomal RNA
Rfam family: Bacterial small subunit ribosomal RNA
Source: RNAcentral